Pongo abelii (Sumatran orangutan) is the source of this 160-nucleotide unclassified non-coding RNA. It matches the Rfam family "Metazoan signal recognition particle RNA". Rfam says of the family: The signal recognition particle (SRP) is a universally conserved ribonucleoprotein. It is involved in the co-translational targeting of proteins to membranes. The eukaryotic SRP consists of a 300-nucleotide 7S RNA and six proteins: SRPs 72, 68, 54, 19, 14, and 9. NCBI's taxonomy places the organism in Eukaryota, Metazoa, Chordata, Mammalia, Primates, Hominidae. The record is from Ensembl.
GCUGGGCAUGUGGUGGCAUGUGCCUGUAGUCCCAGCUACUUGGAGGCUGAGGCAGGAAGAUUGCUUGAGCCCAGGAGUUUGAGGCCAUAGUGCACUGUGAUUGUGCCUGUGAGUGGUCACUGCACUCCAGCCUGGGCAAUAUAGUGAGACCCUACCUCUA